Long non-coding RNA from Octopus bimaculoides (California two-spot octopus), 899 nucleotides. NCBI's taxonomy places the organism in Eukaryota, Metazoa, Mollusca, Cephalopoda, Octopoda, Octopodidae. The record is from RefSeq and is a predicted model, not a curated record.
GACGAUUAUCUGAAGAUUUUAUUUUAGAAAAUUUCAAUCUCUUUGAACCUUUCCACGAUGAUUAGAGGCUCGGAAAAAUGUGCUUCGGGGUUCUCAGCCAAACAUCAGAACACUAGUACGAAAUCAGUCUUCUUCACCUUGUUUUUUUUGCUUUUUGGUGGAGAUGGAAUAAUUCAUGCACAUUUGAGUUCUGAAACACACUCUGCAACAUGCUGGUUGGUACCAAAAGAAAGUUACAAGGUAUACGGCAGUAUUACUGCAAUCUUAUAAAAGCAUAACCAUGCAAUUUCAGAAAAGAAAUCCUUGGCAUUCUAACAAGGAACAUAUAAUCCUUCCUUCUCUAUACAUUCCCACAGAAAAAUACAUCGUAAAUUAAAUAGCAAUAAAAAUUAUGAAUAUCAAAUAAUGGCUACCGUAACACAGAAUCAUACAUAUAUCAACUAAGUACAGUUAUUAUGGAUUUGUCGUUGGACAAAAAAAUUAUCAGACAAGAAGACGUCGGACCAAAAGACAUGGAUGAAAAGACAUUUGACGAAGUGACGUCGGACGAAAAGACAUAGCACCAUCCUAUGGAUUACUUUGCAAAGGCUGGAGUAGUUUGAAUAGGAAAUGAUGUCCUAUUUGCCGGACAUUGCCCCAUCUGAUCAUCAUUUAUUCCGCAUUAUUGGACGGAAAAAAUAUGAAUUCUGUAGAUAAGGUCAGAACAGUACUGGAGGAGUAUCUUUGUCACAGAAAAGUGAAUUUUGGAAGAGGGGCCUUGCAAGUCUACGAGAUAGAUGGAAGAGCAUUUUAGAAAAUGAAGGAGAGUAUAUUUUGGAUUAAAAAAGAACUUUGUUUAUUUUAAUUUUGAAGAAUAAAAGAAGUAUAAAAAGUCACAUUAUUUAUGGGACGACCCAAUA